Molecule: non-coding RNA, 181 nt
Filed under: Spongiibacter sp. IMCC21906
Lineage: Bacteria; Pseudomonadati; Pseudomonadota; Gammaproteobacteria; Cellvibrionales; Spongiibacteraceae
Also listed under: 1 other name
Source: RNAcentral
UUGUUUCAACGCUGAUCAGGUGCCUGAUCGCCACGCUGCCAAACGUGGCUGGAUCAGGGUAAACGGGAAGUUCGGUGCGCUGUGGCUUGAUGGCUGCUGCAAGUAAUACCGACGCUGCCCCCGCAACGGUGAAGGGAUUGUGGUCCCUAAGCCCGAAACCGGCCUGAGCAGUAUUUUCUUG